RNAcentral lists this ribosomal RNA (391 nucleotides) under uncultured soil bacterium. RNAcentral describes it as "bacterial SSU rRNA". It matches the Rfam family "Bacterial small subunit ribosomal RNA", at positions 26 to 418 of the family's 1533-position model. The record is from RNAcentral.
AGAUUGAACGCUGGCGGCAGGCCUAACACAUGCAAGUCGAGCGGCAGCACGGGUACUUGUACCUGGUGGCGAGCGGCGGACGGGUGAGUAAUGCCUAGGAAUCUGCCUGGUAGUGGGGGAUAACGCUCGGAAACGGACGCUAAUACCGCAUACGUCCUACGGGAGAAAGCAGGGGACCUUCGGGCCUUGCGCUAUCAGAUGAGCCUAGGUCGGAUUAGCUAGUUGGCGGGGUAAUGGCCCACCAAGGCGACGAUCGGUAGCUGGUCUGAGAGGAUGAUCAGCCACACUGGAACUGAGACACGGUCCAGACUCCUACGGGAGGCAGCAGUGGGGAAUUUGGACAAUGGGCGCAAGCCUGAUCCAGCCAUGCCGCGUGAGUGAAGAAGGCCUU